RNAcentral lists this ribosomal RNA (253 nucleotides) under uncultured bacterium. RNAcentral describes it as "partial 16S ribosomal RNA". It matches the Rfam family "Bacterial small subunit ribosomal RNA", at positions 524 to 776 of the family's 1533-position model. The record is from RNAcentral.
UACGGGGGGAGCAAGCGUUGUUCGGAUUUACUGGGCGUAAAGGGCGCGUAGGCGGUAGCACAAGUCAGUUGUGAAAUCUCCGGGCUUAACUCGGAAAGGUCAACUGAUACUGUGCGACUAGAGUGCAGAAGGGGCAACUGGAAUUCUCGGUGUAGCGGUGAAAUGCGUAGAUAUCGAGAGGAACACCUGCGGCGAAGGCGGGUUGCUGGGCCGACACUGACGCUGAGGCGCGAAAGCCAGGGGAGCGAACGGG